UUAGAUAGGAAAGUUAACUAUUGUUACCAUUUACUUUAAUCAAACUCUCAUUUCUAGUUAAAUCCUCAUUCUCUUUUAAAUAAACCUUCUUUUGUUUUAUUACAAGUGCUCCCCGGUGUUGUGUGGUUUACAAGGUAAAACUGGAGUACACUGCACCUCUGGGUGCGGAGGAUCUGGAAUUUAUAUCAAAGUUGUGAUCAGAUGUGGUCAGCUGGGACAUAAGAGCAGGGGCUGUGGCUGGGUUGCUGUUGGGAAACCAGACUGUUAGACAGGCAUCCACUGGAGUAUCUGAAGAAGCUAGGACUGCCUCGGCCACCACCGCAGGAUGAAAGGGCUUUAGAAGCCUGUCUGGCCUUUAUAUACACCACUGGUCACAGACUCCCAAAGGGAAGAACUGCACAUGACAAACCCAGUCGGACCUGCCAG
Long non-coding RNA from Mauremys reevesii (Reeves's turtle), 426 nucleotides. RefSeq lists it as uncharacterized. NCBI's taxonomy places the organism in Eukaryota, Metazoa, Chordata, Testudines, Geoemydidae. The transcript is spliced from 4 exons. The record is from RefSeq and is a predicted model, not a curated record.